UACGUAGGCAGCGAGCGUUGUUCGGAGUUACUGGGCGUAAAGGGGUGUGUAGGCGGUUGUUUAAGUUUGGUGUGAAAUCUCCCGGCUCAACUGGGAGGGUGCGCCGAAUACUGAAUGACUAGAGUGCGGGAGAGGAUAGUGGAAUUCCGUGGUGUAGCGGUGAAAUGCGUAGAUAUCAGGAGGAACACCGGUGGUGUAGACGGCUACUCGUGGACCGUAACUGACGCUGAGACACGAAAGCGUGGGUAGCAAACAGG
This 257-nucleotide ribosomal RNA is filed under the name uncultured bacterium. Its description in RNAcentral is "partial 16S ribosomal RNA". It matches the Rfam family "Bacterial small subunit ribosomal RNA", at positions 524 to 776 of the family's 1533-position model. The record is from RNAcentral.